This is a non-coding RNA of Paenibacillus dendritiformis C454, 367 nucleotides long. It matches the Rfam family "transfer-messenger RNA". From Rfam's summary of the family: Bacterial tmRNA, also known as 10Sa RNA or SsrA, is named for its dual tRNA and mRNA-like properties. Its role is to liberate the mRNA from a stalled ribosome. NCBI's taxonomy places the organism in Bacteria, Bacillati, Bacillota, Bacilli, Caryophanales, Paenibacillaceae. The record is from Rfam.
GGGGGCGUUCUUGGAUUCGACGGGGAUAGUUCGAGCAUGGGUAGCGGGUAGUGGGGACGCGUCCGCUUCAUCAACGCUAACGCCAAAUUUAAACGGCAAACAACAAACUUCUUACGCUUUAGCAGCUUAAUAACCUGCUAGCGUGCUUCUACCCUGCAUCGCCCAUGUGCCGGGAUAGGGGCUCAACUUCAGUGGGAUACGCCGCGUAGUCUCCGCCUGGGGCUAACGGAAGAAGACAAUCAGGCUGACCUGUGAGAAAGCCGGUUACAGGGCGUUCCCGCAGGUGACAUCAAAACUGUGACUACACCCGUAGAAGCCUGUGUGGCGUUAUCUUCGGACAGGGGUUCGAAUCCCCUCGCCUCCACCA